RNAcentral lists this long non-coding RNA (1056 nucleotides) under Numida meleagris (helmeted guineafowl). RNAcentral's name for it is "lncRNA (ENSNMEG00000014371.1)". Lineage: Eukaryota; Metazoa; Chordata; Aves; Galliformes; Numididae. The record is from RNAcentral.
UGACUUUUGCAGACUUUUAAACCACACGCAUAACUGAAUUUUUAUUUUGUGUGGUAUUUUCUAAUACAUUUGUAAGUAGUUCAGAAGCUCAUUUUGAAGUAUUAACUGUUUAAAUUACUUCAUCCAAGAGAUGGUACUGUGUUCUGUGAUUGUCACACUAUCGCUCCUGUGUGAAAGUGGUGAGGAAGUACAGCUACUAAUAUGAGGGUACAUAUCUUAAAGAUUUGUAGUGUGUGUUUGACUUUGGAUGAUAUGCAACAGCCAUUUGGGACUGUUUCUGAGAUUUUUUUAUCCUAGCAACUUGAGAAAAGCAAGCUACACAAGAUAGGCCUUACUUCCACGGUCAACCAACUAUUUUUGUGGGUAAAUAGGUGAAAAAAUCUCUGUAAUCUUCAUUCCUUUCCACUUGCAGUGUGCAAAAUAGUAAAAAACUGAAUAGAUGGCAGGAAAGACAAGCAGGAUGGAACUAUGCACAAAGGAACAUGUCAGUAGGGUUCAGCUGAGGGUUUAAAGGGUGCGAAUCUAUUAGUAUCAGAUUCCACUGAGACACUCAGUCUAAUUCAGGAAGAAAAAGAGAUUUUUAAAUUGUCUUACCUUAAAUACCCUGUGAUGAGAAAACACCAGAUGGCUUUUGACUGAAGAAUGAUGGACAGAAAUUGUUGCUUGGUGAGCUUCAAUCAAGUUUAUAGAGAGCCAUGAAUUCUUCAGCCCAGAGCCUGGAAUGAGGAGGGGUGUUAACAGUCCUCGCUGCACAUCCUAGCUAUUUCCUGAUGACUGACUAAUGCUGCUAGGAGAGAAUGUAGGAAAGAAGAGAGUUCUCCAAUUGACAGGAAGCAAAAAAGAAAUGAUUGUCAAGGGCUGGCAGUGCUUCUAGUUUAAAGACAGACACAAUUUAGAUACCAUUGAGAUCCCACUGCAGGAUGAAGCUUAAUGAGGUCUGUGUGGUCACAGAGGGAUAAAACACUGUGGGAUCAGAUGUGGCCCUGUGUUGUGCGUGAGAGCAAGACCUUUGAGCUAUACAAUUUAAAUGAAUUCUGCAGCAAGUUAAAGGUAUGA